CUACGGAGGGUGCAAGCGUUAUUCGGAAUCACUGGGCGUAAAGGGUGCGUAGGCGGUUUGAUAAGUCUGAUGUGAAAUCCUAUGGCUCAACCAUAGAACUGCAUUGGAAACUGUCAGACUAGAAUACUGAAGGGGCAGAUGGAAUUAGUGGUGUAGGGGUAAAAUCCGUAGAUAUCACUAGGAAUACCGAAAGCGAAAGCGAUCUGCUGGGAAGUUAUUGACGCUGCGGCACGAAAGCGUGGGGAGCAAACGGGAUUAGAAACCCCAGUAGUCC
This 274-nucleotide ribosomal RNA is filed under the name uncultured bacterium. RNAcentral describes it as "partial 16S ribosomal RNA". It matches the Rfam family "Bacterial small subunit ribosomal RNA", at positions 523 to 796 of the family's 1533-position model. The record is from RNAcentral.